UACGGAGGGUGCGAGCGUUGUCCGGAAUCACUGGGCGUAAAGGGCGCGUAGGCGGCGCGGGAAGUCCGUGGUGAAAGCCCGAGGCUCAACUUCGGGUCGGCCAUGGAUACUCCUGGGCUUGAGCACUGUAGAGGCAGGUGGAAUUCCGGGUGUAGCGGUGGAAUGCGUAGAGAUCCGGAAGAACACCGGUGGCGAAGGCGGCCUGCUGGGCAGUGACCGUAAGGUCUUAAAAGCUGACGCUGAGGCGCGACAGCGUGGGGAGCAAACAGG
This 270-nucleotide ribosomal RNA is filed under the name uncultured bacterium. RNAcentral's name for it is "partial 16S ribosomal RNA". It matches the Rfam family "Bacterial small subunit ribosomal RNA", at positions 524 to 776 of the family's 1533-position model. The record is from RNAcentral.